UAUAAGGGAUUUUGAGUUUUUUCUUGCAACGUUUGACCACUCGUCUUAUUCAAAAUUUUUUAAAAUUAUUAUUUAUUUUAUUUGUGACUUACUUUAUUAUCUACAGUAUUUUAAGCACAACUUUUUAUUUUUUAUAUUUGCAAAAAAAAUUGAAUAAGACGAGUGGUCAAACAUUGCAAGCAAAAACUUAAA
RNAcentral lists this microRNA precursor (192 nucleotides) under Oryza sativa Indica Group (long-grained rice). RNAcentral describes it as "MIR812 microRNA precursor family". It matches the Rfam family "MIR812 microRNA precursor family". Lineage: Eukaryota; Viridiplantae; Streptophyta; Magnoliopsida; Poales; Poaceae. The record is from Rfam by way of RNAcentral.